Non-coding RNA from Pelobates cultripes (western spadefoot toad), 241 nucleotides. NCBI's taxonomy places the organism in Eukaryota, Metazoa, Chordata, Amphibia, Anura, Pelobatidae. The record is from the annotation of a GenBank genome assembly.
CCCUGUUGUACUACAAUUGAAAAAAGAAAUGAAGAUGAAGCAAGGGUCUUGUAAAGUUAAGCUAUUCGGAGUAAUAGAGCAGGGUCAAUGCAUGGAAUUAUUAUGGUGCAGUGAGACAGGUAGAGACAGGAAGAUAAUGAAAUGUGGCAUUAGGCAAGUGUCUUGGGGAUGAGAUGUGGCAUGGGAUGAGCGAUAUGACUCAAUGUGUUAUGUCCUAAGUGAGGUGAAAUUUGGAAUAGAG